GAGUUUGAUCAUGGCUCAGGAUGAACGCUAGCGGGAGGCCUAACACAUGCAAGCCGAGCGGUAUUGUUUCUUCGGAAAUGAGAGAGCGGCGUACGGGUGCGGAACACGUGUGCAACCUGCCUUUAUCUGGGGGGAUAGCCUUUCGAAAGGAAGAUUAAUACUCCAUAAUAUAUUGAACGGCAUCGUUUAAUAUUGAAAGCUCCGGCGGAUAGAGAUGGGCACGCGCAAGAUCAGCUAGUUGGUGAGGUAACGGCUCACCAAGGCGAUGAUCUUUAGGGGGCCUGAGAGGGUGAUCCCCCGCACUGGUACUGAGACACGGACCAGACUCCUACGGGAGGCAGCAGUGAGGAUAUUGGUCAAUGGGUGCAAGCCUGAACCAGCCAUCCCGCGUGAAGGACGACUGCCCUAUGGGUUGUAAACUUCUUUUGUAUAGGGAUAAACCGUACCUCGUGAGGGUAGCUGAAGGUACUAUACGAAUAAGCACCGGCUAACUCCGUGCCAGCAGCCGCGGUAA
This 514-nucleotide ribosomal RNA is filed under the name uncultured microorganism. Its description in RNAcentral is "bacterial SSU rRNA". It matches the Rfam family "Bacterial small subunit ribosomal RNA", at positions 9 to 523 of the family's 1533-position model. The record is from RNAcentral.